CAGUCGCCACGGUAAUACGGAGGGUGCAAGCGUUACUCGGAAUCACUGGGCGUAAAGGACGCGUAGGCGGAUUAUCAAGUCUCUUGUGAAAUCUAACGGCUUAACCGUUAAACUGCUUGGGAAACUGAUAAUCUAGAGUAAGGGAGAGGCAGAUGGAAUUCUUGGUGUAGGGGUAAAACCCGUAGAUAUCAAGAAGAAUACCUAUUGCGAAGGCGAUCUGCUGGAACUUAACUGACGCUAAUGCGUGAAAGCGUGGGGAGCAAACAGGAUUAGAUACCCCCGUAGUCCCUGUCUCUUAUAC
Molecule: ribosomal RNA, 301 nt
Filed under: uncultured bacterium
Lineage: Bacteria
Description: partial 16S ribosomal RNA
Rfam family: Bacterial small subunit ribosomal RNA
Source: RNAcentral